This 1242-nucleotide long non-coding RNA is filed under the name Chinchilla lanigera (long-tailed chinchilla). RNAcentral's name for it is "lncRNA (ENSCLAG00000024391.1)". The record is from RNAcentral. Lineage: Eukaryota; Metazoa; Chordata; Mammalia; Rodentia; Chinchillidae.
ACAAAAGGCAGCUGGGCAUGGUGGCACAAGCCUUAAUCCCCAGCACUUAGGAGGCUGAUGCAGGAAGAUCACUGUGAGUUUGAGGCCAGCCUGGGCUACAAAGUGAGUUCAAGGACAGCCUGAACUGCAUGGUUAAACCCUGUCUCAAAAGGAACAAACAAACAAACAAACAAUACCCCCCCCCCGCCCAAAAAGCAAAAUAUUUCAGUGCUUGGAAACAACCAGAGAAAAGGUGAGGAGUCCCGUGCUCCUUCCUUUCCCAGGGCUGUCACUCUCCGUGGACGGCUCCGUGGCUGGGUUUGUUUGUCCUCCCUCCACCUCCUUCAGGGCCUGGAGCCCACUGGGGCAGGACUGAGAAGCCCAGACAGUGGCCCAGUGCCCAGGAGCCUCGAAGCCAGGAAGCAGAGAUUCUGCACACAAAAUGGGCUGAAAAGUGGCCCCGGAGGAGCGGGUAGGGGCGGGCUCCAGGAGGAGGUCCCGCCUAUUCCGUAGCACAAAGCCUGUGUUCAGUUAUUAUUUUUUGGUGGAGUAAAUUGCCAAAUGAAUGGUGAGAUCAGCAAGUCCUGGAGGAGGCAGGGCUGGGAGCUGGUGACAGGAGGGCUGGUGGAGCACAGUUUCAAGCCGGACUGCCAAGCUCUUCUCAGGAGGGUAGAAGCUACACUGAGGACCCCUGUGCUGGAGGGAACCCCUGAGAGCCAGAUGCUGAAACCCUCAGAGAAGGGGCCCAGCCCCUGGGGCCCUCCAAGCCCUCUGCUGGCCCUGGGCUUGCUCCUUCCUGUGGAAUGGCUUGACUUUUGCUGGGAAGUCUGUGCGGGCAGCGGUGGCCAGGUCGGAGCGCGGCGUGUCGGUGACUCCUGGUGGCGUCUGCGUGUUUGUCCAGAACUCUGGAGGAGAAGAGGCCUCUCCUCACCCAGCACCGGCCACAGUGGGUGUUCUUCCCGCAGAGCACAGCUUUCUCAGGCCUGCUACACCCCCGCCGCCGCCCGCACCCAGGGGCUGAGCUGGCCAAGCUCAGGAAUUGAUGAAGCCUUUGCGCAUUCUGAGGUGCAAUUGGAGGUGGCCCUGAGAGCCCCUACCUGGAACUCUGGAACCCAGACCCCAGUUUUGCCUCGCGGCCACCUGACCCUGUCUGCACACCUGAGUGUUCACUGGACUCGGCACCUGGGGGGACCUGGGCGCCUCCAGGACCCAGGGCUCUGCGGCAGCACUUUCUGUCUGUCUCCGCCCUCUUGGCUGUGUUGA